UGCCUGGUGGUGUAAUGGUAACACACAAGAAUUUGGAUCUUGUUUUCAUGGUUCGAAUCCAUGCCGGGCAGCCA
Molecule: transfer RNA, 74 nt
Filed under: Candidatus Omnitrophota bacterium
Lineage: Bacteria; Pseudomonadati; Candidatus Omnitrophota
Description: Candidatus Omnitrophica bacterium (sediment metagenome) tRNA-Gln
Rfam family: tRNA
About the family: Transfer RNA (tRNA) molecules are approximately 80 nucleotides in length. Their secondary structure includes four short double-helical elements and three loops (D, anti-codon, and T loops). Further hydrogen bonds mediate the characteristic L-shaped molecular structure. tRNAs have two regions of fundamental functional importance: the anti-codon, which is responsible for specific mRNA codon recognition, and the 3' end, to which the tRNAs corresponding amino acid is attached (by aminoacyl-tRNA synthetases). tRNAs cope with the degeneracy of the genetic code in two manners: having more than one tRNA (with a specific anti-codon) for a particular amino acid; and 'wobble' base-pairing, i.e. permitting non-standard base-pairing at the 3rd anti-codon position.
Source: RNAcentral